CUACGGGCCGCAGCAGUGGGGAAUAUUGCGCAAUGGGCGAAAGCCUGACGCAGCAACGCCGCGUGAGGGAUGACGGCCUUCGGGUUGUAAACCUCUUUCAGCAGGGAAGAAGCGAAAGUGACGGUACCUGCAGAAGAAGCACCGGCUAACUACGUGCCAGCAGCCGCGGUAAUACGUAGGGUGCAAGCGUUGUCCGGAUUUAUUGGGCGUAAAGAGCUCGUAGGCGGUUAGUCACGUCGGAUGUGAAAUCCCAAGGCUUAACCUUGGGUCUGCAUUCGAUACGGGUUGACUAGAGUGUUGUAGGGGAGACUGGAACUCCUGGUGUAGCGGUGAAAUGCGCAGAUAUCAGGAAGAACACCGGUGGCGAAGGCGGGUCUCUGGGCAACUACUGACGCUGAGGAGCGAAAGCGUGGGGAGCAAACAGGAUUAGAUACCCGCGUAGUC
This 444-nucleotide ribosomal RNA is filed under the name uncultured bacterium. RNAcentral's name for it is "partial 16S ribosomal RNA". It matches the Rfam family "Bacterial small subunit ribosomal RNA", at positions 339 to 795 of the family's 1533-position model. The record is from RNAcentral.